AUUGAACGCUGGCGGCAGGCCUAACACAUGCAAGUCGAACGGUAACAGGAAGCAGCUUGCUGCUUUGCUGACGAGUGGCGGACGGGUGAGUAAUGUCUGGGAAACUGCCCGAUGGAGGGGGAUAACUACUGGAAACGGUAGCUAAUACCGCAUAACGUCGCAAGACCAAAGAGGGGGACCUUAGGGCCUCUUGCCAUCGGAUGUGCCCAGAUGGGAUUAGCUAGUAGGUGGGGUAACGGCUCACCUAGGCGACGAUCCCUAGCUGGUCUGAGAGGAUGACCGGCCACACGGGAACUGAGCACCGGGCCAGAUCCCUACGGGAGGCAGCAGUGGGGAAUUUUGCCAAAUGGGCGCAAGCCUGAUGCAGCCAUGCCGGGUGUAUGAAGAAGGCCUUCGGGUUGUAAAGUACUUUCAGGGGGGAGGAAGGGAGUAAAGUUAAAACCUUUGCCCAUUGACUUUACCCGCAAAAGAAGCACCGGCUAACUCCGU
Molecule: ribosomal RNA, 489 nt
Filed under: uncultured bacterium
Lineage: Bacteria
Description: partial 16S ribosomal RNA
Rfam family: Bacterial small subunit ribosomal RNA
Source: RNAcentral